UCAAGAAGUAGUUUAAUAAGAAUGUCGGCUUUGGGGGCCGGAAGAGUAGAGUUAUGUCUGCCUUCUUGAA
RNAcentral lists this transfer RNA (70 nucleotides) under Crocodylus acutus (American crocodile). Its description in RNAcentral is "tRNA-Pro". The record is from RNAcentral. Lineage: Eukaryota; Metazoa; Chordata; Crocodylia; Crocodylidae.